UCAUGAUGCUUUUAGUAAAUAUUUUUACUAUUAAAACAAUUGAUACUCUAAUAAAUGAUGGUAAUAUAUUGGUACCAAACUUAUAGACUAUUGUGGAGAUUAAAUAAGGUAGUUAAUGUAUGUAAUUGAUGUUCUAAAUUUAUAUAAAUCAUUUAGAAUAGUGCCUGGAACUCAAUACAUGAUAGACAUUGGUAGUAGAGGUGGUGAUCUCCAUUUCCUAUACCUAUUUGUUUGUCUGUUUGUUUUAAAAAACCAUA
RNAcentral lists this long non-coding RNA (257 nucleotides) under Pan troglodytes (chimpanzee). Its description in RNAcentral is "long non-coding RNA NONPTRT015151". Lineage: Eukaryota; Metazoa; Chordata; Mammalia; Primates; Hominidae. The record is from RNAcentral.